RNAcentral lists this ribosomal RNA (484 nucleotides) under uncultured bacterium. Its description in RNAcentral is "partial 16S ribosomal RNA". It matches the Rfam family "Bacterial small subunit ribosomal RNA", at positions 29 to 523 of the family's 1533-position model. The record is from RNAcentral.
AGUGAACGCUGGCGGCGUGCUUAACACAUGCAAGUCGAACGAGAACGGAUUAUAGCUUGCUAUAAUUGUCAACUAAGUGGCGCACGGGUGAGUAAUGUAUAGGUAAUAUGCCUCUUACUAAGGGAUAACAAAUGGAAACGUUUGCUAAUACCUUGUACUCCUUAUUAACAGAAGUUAAUAAGGGAAAGAUUUAUUGGUAAGAGAUUAGCCUGUAUUGUAUCAGUUAGUUGGUGGGGUAAUGGCUUACCAAGACUAUGACACAUAACUGGUUUGAGAGGAUGAUCAGUCACACUGGAACUGAGACACGGUCCAGACUCCUACGGGAGGCAGCAGUGGGGAAUAUUGCACAAUGGACGAAAGUCUGAUGCAGCAACGCCGCGUGGAGGAUGACACAUUUCGGUGCGUAAACUCCUUUUAUAUGAGAAGAUAAUGACGGUAUUAUAUGAAUAAGCACCGGCUAACUCCGUGCCAGCAGCCGCCGUAA